UUUAUGGAGAGUUUGAUCCUGGCUCAGGAUGAACGCUGGCGGCGUGCCUAAUACAUGCAAGUCGAGCGAACGGACGAGAAGCUUGCUUCUCUGAUGUUAGCGGCGGACGGGUGAGUAACACGUGGAUAACCUACCCAUAAGACUGGGAUAACUUCGGGAAACCGGAGCUAAUACCGGAUAAUAUUUUGAACCGCAUGGUUCAAAAGUGAAAGACGGUCUUGCUGUCACUUAU
This 232-nucleotide ribosomal RNA is filed under the name Staphylococcus aureus. RNAcentral's name for it is "partial 16S ribosomal RNA". It matches the Rfam family "Bacterial small subunit ribosomal RNA", at positions 1 to 222 of the family's 1533-position model. Lineage: Bacteria; Bacillati; Bacillota; Bacilli; Caryophanales; Staphylococcaceae. The record is from RNAcentral.